GCUUAGAUAUUAUACAGAACACCGAUUGCGAAGGCAGCUCACUAAGCUGAUACUGACGCUGAGGCACGAAAGCGUGGGGAGCGAACAGGAUUAGAUACCCUGGUAGUCCACGCUGUAAACGAUGAACACUCGCUGUUGGCAAUACAUCGUCAGCGGCUGAGCGAAAGCAUUAAGUGAUCCACCUGGGGAGUACGUCGGCAACGAUGAAACUCAAAGGAAUUGACGGGGGCCCGCACAAGCGGUGGAACAUGUGGUUUAAUUCGAUGAUACGCGAGGAACCUUACCUGGGCUUAAAUGCAGAACGACGGUUCCCGAAAGGGAUCCUUCUUCGGACGGACUGCAAGGUGCUGCAUGGUUGUCGUCAGCUCGUGCCGUGAGGUGUCGGGUUAAGUCCCAUAACGAGCGCAACCCCUAUUGUUAGUUGCCAGCGAGUAAUGUCGGGGACUCUAACGAAACUGCCGGUGUAAACCGAGAGGAAGGUGGGGAUGACGUCAAAUCAGCACGGCCCUUAUGUCCAGGGCUACACACGUGUUACAAUGGACGAUACAGAGGGAAGCUACUUGGCGACAAGAUGCUAAUCUCGAAAAUCGUUCUUAGUUCGGAUUGGAGUCUGCAACUCGACUUCAUGAAGCUGGAAUCGCUAGUAAUCGCACAUCAGCCAUGGUGCGGUGAAUACGUUCCCGGGCAUUGUACACACCGCCCGUCAAGCCAUGGAAGCCGGGGGUACCUAAAGUCCGUAACCGAAAGGAGC
Molecule: ribosomal RNA, 751 nt
Filed under: uncultured organism
Description: bacterial SSU rRNA
Rfam family: Bacterial small subunit ribosomal RNA
Source: RNAcentral